This is a non-coding RNA of Leptonychotes weddellii (Weddell seal), 207 nucleotides long. NCBI's taxonomy places the organism in Eukaryota, Metazoa, Chordata, Mammalia, Carnivora, Phocidae. The record is from RefSeq and is a predicted model, not a curated record.
GGUAGUGGCUCCAAUCCUUUCCGGCAUCUGGAGAAGAGUGCUGUCUUACAGGAGGCUCGUAUAUUCAAUGAAACACCCAUCAAUCCAAGAAGAUGUUUGCAUAUUCUUACAAAGAUUCUUUACUUACUGAACCAGGGCGAACACUUUGGAACUACAGAAGCCACAGAAGCCUUCUUUGCAAUGACUCGAUUGUUUCAAUCUAAUGAU